RNAcentral lists this transfer RNA (102 nucleotides) under Trichosporon asahii var. asahii CBS 8904. It matches the Rfam family "tRNA". From Rfam's summary of the family: Transfer RNA (tRNA) molecules are approximately 80 nucleotides in length. Lineage: Eukaryota; Fungi; Basidiomycota; Tremellomycetes; Trichosporonales; Trichosporonaceae. The record is from Rfam by way of RNAcentral.
GGCCGCUUAGCUCAGCUGGUUAGAGCAUUGUACUAAUACUCCGAGUCGAGAAUUAGCCCAUCCACCAUGCAAAGGUCGGCAGUUCGAUCCUGUCAGUGGUCA